ACAACGCUAUUUUGUUCCGAGGACUUGCUGAAGCACUACCAUGCAAAGUGACGCCCAUGCAUUGAGCAGCAUUUCCUUUACUAUGUUCCUAGAGCCAGCCGCGUCCCACCACCGAUGAUUUCACACGUACUCGGAGUACUGAAACAAGGACUGCAAAAAGUGUGAAUAGUGUAAUGCACUCGUCUCGCCGUACCGAAAGGAAGUCUGCUCUUCCCAGCAAUUAACAGAAUAAUACAAGCCUCACAUCUCAGUGGCAAAAUGUCGCACACUGAAUACGUAUUGAUGGCCAACAGCACGAAAAUUGCC
Molecule: long non-coding RNA, 306 nt
Organism: Rhipicephalus microplus (southern cattle tick)
Lineage: Eukaryota; Metazoa; Arthropoda; Arachnida; Ixodida; Ixodidae
Source: RefSeq, a predicted model, not a curated record